CGAUGAGGUAGAGGCGCGGUCUUAAUGAGUAUUUGAUCUGAGGAUGACAACGAGGACGAUCAAGGAAAGGUAAUGCUGCCGAAGUAUCAUCAAGUGUCUGACUUGGUGGUACUGGUCGAAUUGGGAAAUACCCGUUCGAUUGCCAUACGUGUUUUGUAUGGAGCGCUCCAAUUCGG
This 176-nucleotide non-coding RNA is filed under the name Exiguobacterium oxidotolerans. RNAcentral describes it as "Lysine". It matches the Rfam family "Lysine riboswitch aptamer". From Rfam's summary of the family: Riboswitches are metabolite binding domains within certain messenger RNAs that serve as precision sensors for their corresponding targets. RNAcentral also lists the same sequence under 1 other name. Lineage: Bacteria; Bacillati; Bacillota; Bacilli; Caryophanales. The record is from RNAcentral.